Peromyscus leucopus (white-footed mouse) is the source of this 450-nucleotide long non-coding RNA. RefSeq lists it as uncharacterized. The transcript has 3 exons. The record is from RefSeq and is a predicted model, not a curated record. NCBI's taxonomy places the organism in Eukaryota, Metazoa, Chordata, Mammalia, Rodentia, Cricetidae.
AAGGAGGUGGUCACUCAAGAGUAGUCUCAAAGAAUGGAUGAUGUGAUGGACCAUGUGGAGGAAGAUAGAGGAGCCAGAGAAAUGACUUAAUCUGGUCAGGAGGGAAGUUUGAUUCCUGUUGAUAUCUGGAUUGAUCAUAUUGAUGGCCAUGAAACAACAGUGACCUAGAAACCUAAAGGGUAUGCUGCUAAGAGGAGGAUUUGUACAUUCUAGGCUUUCAACCGCAGUCAGGUAUGUUGGAUGAAGAGUCAACAGAUUCUACCACAGCCACAUUGCCAACCCUUAGGCUCUCUGAUGACUCAAGUCAUACUAAAAAUGUUUAGUGUUUUAUUUUAUUUUUGUGUGUGUGUAAGUAAUGAUGAUAUGUUAGUGAGAAUGCAGUCUUAAUGUGAUUAUUCUUAUGUACUCAUACAAGUGCUUGCCUAAAAAUGUCAAUCCUUACUAUCUAUG